This is a long non-coding RNA of Folsomia candida, 2157 nucleotides long. RefSeq lists it as uncharacterized. The transcript has 4 exons. NCBI's taxonomy places the organism in Eukaryota, Metazoa, Arthropoda, Collembola, Entomobryomorpha, Isotomidae. The record is from RefSeq and is a predicted model, not a curated record.
CAGCCGGACAGUCAUCUCAUCCACUUGUUAUUCUUAUUACUCCUGUUUGAAAUUUAGUUAACAUUAAAUGUAUUAUUGUGGUGGUGGGGGUGGAGGGGGUGGUGAUAAUCGUGGUCGCUUUCCAUUAAAGAGUUGGGAAAUGGAUGAUGGCGGUGAGUAUGGAGAAAUUACUCUAUUUUUUGGCGACGGCAGGUCGUGAUGUUGCCAUCACUGCGGGGGAACGCCAGAGUCUGGCAAAAAAGGAUAUAGAGCUCUGGAGCCGAAAUUUUGACUUUAGUCGUCAACUGGACGAACUUUACCAUCAUAUGGGGAAAACGACGUUGUCGAGCGGAGAAGCGGAGAAGCGGAGAUUGAUGGAUAAGGAGAUUGAUUUUAUGUAUGCAAAUUUAAAGUCGGAACACGAGAAAGUGGACAUGCGCCAGAACCUGGCUUUGUCACUUGAAAGUGGAACAUUUCGACCAAUGACAAAUCACCCUAAAAGUCUUGGGGUUAUUUUAUUUACCGAAUUUCGUCGAAUUGGUGGAGCUGGUUUUUCCUGAGCUCCACAAGAGUUCCUUCUCGACCCUGUUCCGGAACUCGUAGCAGAAGCUGAAGAAGCCAAAGUUGGCUGUCUCCCAGGAGGACAACCUAGAAAAAGAGGAAGUCGAGUUAAUUUUUUUCUCCAUCACACAUCUGGGUGCAUUUAAGCCAUCACACAUCUACUCGAGAUUAUGUGUUUUGAUUUAAUUUCAACUCUUUCAUCUUUCAUGCAUCCAUAAUUUGUAACGUCGUCGUACUAAUCUAUUCACGAAACUACCAAAUUAUCCGAGAACGUCAAAGCUUUGCACAAAAAAAUAUACAAAAUUAUCACAUAAAUUGCUUCAAUAACACCCGAGUGGAUUUUUUACGAAACAUUUAUUGUGUUAAAGUAAUCUCGGAGAAGCCGGCAAUUAACCUCUAACGAACAAUCGCGGCUGGUUUUUGCUAUCUCCUUUAUUGAUGAGUAGUCAGACCGACCACACCUCCACAAUGUACAUAUGCGCAUGUAUUUUGGAGAAAUCAGUACAAAAACAAAAUAAAUCCUCGUUUCGUUUGAAAGAAAUGCAAUUGCAUUUCAGUUUGUGAUGCUUUUGAAAUGCACACAAUUUGAGUUCUUAUUCAUUUCAUCUCAUUUAUCAGUGAAGCAAUUUAUCUGUUGUUUUUGGUGUACCUCGGAUGAUUGGACGACUACGACGCGAUUGGGGACAGUUGUCCAAGCGUCUUGGUAAUGUACAAUAGCCCGGGAUAUGCAUAUCAUCCUCACAAAAGUAACAAACUUGAACACCAACAGGCACCAAAACUAAAAAUUUGAGAAAAUAAAUUAACAAGGCAAAAAUUAAAUUAUUCUAAAAAAUUACGCACUUAUGUAAAGUUUAAAAACUACAAAUACAUUAGUUUAGAAAUCAUAAAAAUAAAAUUACGUUUGUUAUCAUAGCUGGGCAACGAGGACAAUAUGUCAGCAUUGAUUGUUCCACAUCGUUCUUCAUAGAUAUUAGCGAGGGAUAAAUAGCGAUACAAAUUUUAGCAGCAUGUAUUUACAUAACUUCACUCCCAGGAAUUGGACGUCAUGUUUUUAAUAUAACAAGCUGGAAUUCGCAAAAAAUCAUGUUCAUGCAAAAAACACAAGUGGAAGGCUUACAAAAUAAAAAAUGCACACGAAAACAACAGCAGAAAUCACAAAUUAUAGUUUAUUGUAAUUAUGCAUAAAUGUAUAAUUGAAGGCAAGUUGCAUUUGGUAACAUUUCGGUUAAGUAACUUGAAUUAUAAUACAUAAUUCUACCCGAUUUGUGGAACUAGUCGUAUUACUAACUAACUACAGUUUGUAUACGUACAAUUCAACAUUUUUUGGUUUUAUAUUCAAGACCAGCUAUAGAUUUCAAAGGUUUGGUCAGUGACCUAUUUAUCAUUAAAGCACCACGUGAAUCGAGUCGACUAAUAGAGUUUUGUAGCAGGUAAUUAUUGACGACCUGUUAUUGGAAUUAUUUGGACGGAAUAUACCAGUUUAUACCAAUUGUUUUUGGGGAGCAUAAGGUUUUACAAAUGUAAAUGCAGAUUUGUAGUUAAAUACAUAAAAUUGAAUGCAGGAUAAUUAUUAAUCGAAUGGAGUACUUUUAAUAAUAAGAAUAUUUACGAAAUAAC